This 1440-nucleotide ribosomal RNA is filed under the name uncultured organism. Its description in RNAcentral is "16S ribosomal RNA". It matches the Rfam family "Bacterial small subunit ribosomal RNA". The record is from RNAcentral.
GGCUCAGGAUGAACGCUAGCUACAGGCUUAACACAUGCAAGUCGGGGGGCAGCAUUUCAGUUUGCUUGCAAACUGGAGAUGGCGACCGGCGCACGGGUGAGUAACACGUAUCCAACCUGCCGAUAACUCGGGGAUAGCCUUUCGAAAGAAAGAUUAAUACCCGAUGGCAUAAUUAGACCGCAUGGUCUUAUUAUUAAAGAAUUUCGGUUAUCGAUGGGGAUGCGUUCCAUUAGGCAGUUGGUGAGGUAACGGCUCACCAAACCUUCGAUGGAUAGGGGUUCUGAGAGGAAGGUCCCCCACAUUGGAACUGAGACACGGUCCAAACUCCUACGGGAGGCAGCAGUGAGGAAUAUUGGUCAAUGGGCGCAGGCCUGAACCAGCCAAGUGGCGUGAAGGAUGACUGCCCUAUGGGUUGUAAACUUCUUUUAUAUGGGAAUAAAGUUUUCCACGUGUGGAAUUUUGUAUGUACCAUAUGAAUAAGGAUCGGCUAACUCCGUGCCAGCAGCCGCGGUAAUACGGAGGAUCCGAGCGUUAUCCGGAUUUAUUGGGUUUAAAGGGAGCGUAGGUGGACAGUUAAGUCAGUUGUGAAAGUUUGCGGCUCAACCGUAAAAUUGCAGUUGAUACUGGCUGUCUUGAGUACAGUAGAGGUGGGCGGAAUUCGUGGUGUAGCGGUGAAAUGCUUAGAUAUCACGAAGAACUCCGAUUGCGAAGGCAGCUCACUGGACUGCAACUGACACUGAUGCUCGAAAGUGUGGGUAUCAAACAGGAUUAGAUACCCUGGUAGUCCACACAGUAAACGAUGAAUACUCGCUGUUUGCGAUAUACAGUAAGCGGCCAAGCGAGAGCAUUAAGUAUUCCACCUGGGGAGUACGCCGGCAACGGUGAAACCCAAAGGAAUUGACGGGGGCCCGCACAAGCGGAGGAACAUGUGGUUUAAUUCGAUGAUACGCGAGGAACCUUACCCGGGCUUAAAUUGCAUUUGAAUAUAUUGGAAACAGUAUAGCCGUAAGGCAAAUGUGAAGGUGCUGCAUGGUUGUCGUCAGCUCGUGCCGUGAGGUGUCGGCUUAAGUGCCAUAGCGAGCGCAACCCUUAUCUUUAGUUACUAACAGGUCAUGCUGAGGACUCUAGAGAGACUGCCGUCGUAAGAUGUGAGGAAGGUGGGGAUGACGUCAAAUCAGCACGGCCCUUACGUCCGGGGCUACACACGUGUUACAAUGGGGGGUACAGAAGGCAGCUACCUGGUGACAGGAUGCUAAUCCCAAAAGCCUCUCUCAGUUCGGAUCGAAGUCUGCAACCCGACUUCGUGAAGCUGGAUUCGCUAGUAAUCGCGCAUCAGCCAUGGCGCGGUGAAUACGUUCCCGGGCCUUGUACACACCGCCCGUCAAGCCAUGAAAGCCGGGGGUACCUGAAGUACGUAACCGCAAGGAGCGUCCUAGGGUA